CCAUCGCUGAUCUUCAUCAUGUAAGAAACAGUUUAUAAGGAGAUCAGAGAUCACCAAAGACAUGGAUGAAGGAGCAGUAACUCCAAAGGCGUAGCCUCUAUUGCGUGUAUUAUCUAUUUGAUCCUGUACAUCCGAUGACGUCACUUUCACAUCCGUUCCACGCUGGUUUCAAAUCCUGGUGGCCACAGGACGUCUAUGGAGCGGAUGGUGCCACAUCGAUGGACUGACCCUCCAUCCAGCUGGAUACUCACUUGCAUUGUGCAAGUGCAUUUUUAACCUACUAAUAAAUGGAUUGCUAAAACUCUGCACUGAGCUGACGCUUCCUUCUCUUCCCCCUUCUUGUUUCCUACCCAGAGCUGGCUUACUUUAAGGACAGCUGCCCCCAUUGAAAAUGCCAGUCACAUGGCUAAAAUAAAGAUCCCUCCACAUGUAUUAAAACGGUUGGAAUUGAGCUUUAUAUACUUUAUUUCAAUUUUCACUUUGGUUUUCAUGAUUUAGUUUUACAUUUAUAAAUAUUAAAGCCUAAGCAAAAAUCGUUGUAAUUUUUUUUUUUUAAUUGGCUGGAUUUUAUCUGUGAUAUAAUCUACGUAUAAUCAUGAAUAAUAGAAGAAUGGAGCUCAAGCCACAGAAAAUGAUUAAAUGUAUCGUAGACUGCAGUAUUUAUAUUCACAACAAGGUGGCGAUCUAACUUGGAACACACAGACAGGAAGUGAUGUAGGAUAAACACAGGAAGUGAUGUAAGAUACAGACAGGAAGUUAUAUAGGAGUAUAAAUAGGGAGUUCCUGGGAAGAAAUAGUUGAAAGGAAGUAGAGAGAAGACAUUGCUGGAACUGGCUGCAGAGGAGAUUAUCACCUAUCACAGUGCCUCCUCCUCACUGCCGGACAACAAAGGUAACCAGUUGCAAGAAGGUUCUAGAAGUCGCCAACGAGUUUGUUGAUCCGCUGACAGGAGAGGUUCCUAUAAGGUGUCAGGAUGUCACUGUCAAUUUCUC
This is a long non-coding RNA of Rana temporaria (common frog), 992 nucleotides long. RefSeq lists it as uncharacterized. The transcript has 3 exons. The record is from RefSeq and is a predicted model, not a curated record. NCBI's taxonomy places the organism in Eukaryota, Metazoa, Chordata, Amphibia, Anura, Ranidae.